RNAcentral lists this long non-coding RNA (4861 nucleotides) under Sus scrofa (pig). RNAcentral describes it as "lncRNA (ENSSSCG00000057364.1)". The record is from RNAcentral. Lineage: Eukaryota; Metazoa; Chordata; Mammalia; Artiodactyla; Suidae.
ACAAAUAUUCUGAGACAAGACCUGGGGUCUGGCUCUAGUUAAAGGGGACCCUAACUCUGGCCAGAGACAGACCUCUGUUGCCGUUGUGGACCUUUGUGUUCAGCUGUUUGCCCAUGACUCAGAACUAAGGACUCUAGCACAUAGGAGUCAGAAUUCUAACCUCUGCUGAGGCUGCCUUGGCCCUGGCUCAGUCUGAGGGAGAGAGAGGAGUGCUUUUGGUUUCGAUCACUUUCUUUCAUGGUGGUUUAAAUCUUGCUCUUUCAAGAAAUUCACGAUUGUCCUUACUCUCCUCUCUUUCCUCUUUUUUGGAAUCUUAAUUUCCUAGUCAUUUAAAUUGGUCUGUUUUCCAACUCUUUGCCCCACCCCUACCUUUACUCUAAUCCGCUAAUCCCAUUUAAGCAAAGUAUUAGUUCUUUUUUCUUCUUUGUUUUUCUCCCUGUAGUUUUCUUGUUGCCUUUGGAAGUUUACCCUUUUUACCAAAAGUGACUUUUGCUUAUUUGGACAUUUAAAAAGUAGUGUCUUCUGGUUUUCAUGAGACUGGUUUCUCUCACUUUUUAAAUCACUAGACUUCUUGAAAGAGAUCUAUACUUAGUCAGUACUUAGUGUCUUCACAUCUCAUUAAUUCCUCAACCCAUUACAGUCUGGCUUCCACCAACACCAUGCAAUUAAAAAUGCUCUCUCACCAGUAUCUUUCCAAUUGGCCAGUUCAGUGGCCCCACUUUUCCUUGUCACCAUACUUGACAUUAAUGCAACAUUUGACACGGUUGACCAGCCACUCCUUAUGGAAACUCUCUUCUCAGGCUCUUCUGUUUCAUCAGGUCUUGCCGCUUUGAGCUUUCUUGGGCUUCCUUUGCUGCUCUCCUCCCGCCUUUUGAUGUUGUUUUUCUAGGGCAUAUAUUUACGGUUUGCUCACACAGGACACUCUUACUCUGCUCUGUUGUUCUCAAUAAUGCCAUAUGCAUUGAAGAAGUUCUCCAGCUUAUAAUUUCUUGGCUGAAGUCCAGAUCAUAUUUCCUAGAGCCUAAAGGACAUUUGCACUCGUUUUCUCUGAACGUGAUGGAUGAUGACUAUUAUUCUUAUUGUCGUGAUUAAAUUCUCUGUGCCUUUGCUCUCACUAUUUUCUUGGCCUGCCAUGUCCCUCCUUCACCUUCCUUGCUUGGAGCACUCUUGCUAAUUAUUUAGACCAGCCUUCCUGCCGCCAUCUCCUCUUCAGAACAUUGUCAGCCUGAGCAUGAGUUUGUUACUUCCUUUCUUCUUUUGAAGUGUUUUGAUAGUGAUAAUGACUAAUAUUAAUUGAAUUCUUAGGUGCCAAUCUCUAAUCGAAGCUCUUCUCAUGGAUGAUUGCAUUUAACCUGCACCUCUGACGCAGGUGCUCUUUUCAUCCACCAAUUUUCGAUGAGAAACCUAAGACUCAAUGUAAUAACCUGUAGGUUCCCAUAAUAAGGUUUCAGAUUCAGGCAUCCUGAGUCCAGAGUCCUUAUCCUGCCUCCUCAAAUAAUAGUAGCUUACUUUGUGUGUGGAUUUCUGUGUAUUAUCCUCAUUUAGUCCCCAAAACACUGUUACAAAGUAGUACAAUUAUCAUAUCUAUUUUUUGAAUGAGGAGACUGAGGCACAAAUAAAUUAUGCCACCUUGCGCAAAGCUGCGUAGCCCCCGAAGUAGCCAAAUCAAGAUGCCCUUUCAUUUACCUCUGUUAGAGAACUUCCCAAAUUGCUCUAUAAUCAUAUAACUACCUAGGCAUCUUUUAUUAUUCUGUCAGCUCCAUGAGGGCUUCAAUUUUGUUCUUUCCAGUUUUUUAUUCCCUAUAUUUAGUCACAAAAUAGAAUUUCUGUAAAUGUGGAGAGAGAGACAUAAAUAGAUUGGCUUUUGUUGUCUUUGGGUCAUUUUUCUAGGACAAUUGAUAUGUACUCACUUUGUUCUAUAUUUUCCAUAGCCAAUCAUUUGUUUGUAUAUGUAGCAUUGUGAGGCAAAAUGUGAAAAUGCUGUCUCUGCAAACUUUCUUUUAUGAGUAAAAAUAGUUUCAGUUCCCAAAGGUAAAAUAAUAGCUGCCCUGACAGCCUGUAUCUGCUUCCUUCUCCCUUUAGCAGUUUUUAGCUAUAGUGUCCAGAUGGAAGGUUUAGUUGAAGAGACCCUUAGUCUAUUCAGAGAGAGAUACCAUAUUUCACAGAAUAUAAGCCAAUGUCAAAUUUAAGUCACGUCACUGUUUAAAAGUGGCCAUUUUCUGUUGAGUGAGGCAGUAUCUGCCCAUUUCAGGUACUUGCUAGCACUAUUACCCGCUCCCUUCUUUCCUUCCUCCUCCUCUCCUCUCUUCUUCCUUCCAAUAGCUGAAUUUUACUGCAUGUUGAUGAUGUCACAUAAAAUCUCUAUCUCUUCACUCUGCCCAAAACAGGUUGGCUUUGUAAUUUUUAAACCAUAAAAUACAAUACUUUGCAUCAAUAAGGCACAAUAUAUAGUUUUAUUUGUUUAUAAAAUUACAGAAGUAUAGCAUACUUGUUUUAUGCACCUCUCUUUAUUGCCCUUUGCAAAUACUGCAUUUUUUUUUUUUUAAUAAAAUUGAAGGUUCAUGACAGCCCUGACUCAGGAAUGUCUAUUGGCACUAUUUUUCCAACAGCAUUUGCUCACAUCAUGUCACUGUGUCACAGUUUGGUAAUUCUGACCAUAUUUCAAGCUUUUUAAGUUAUUAUAUUUAUUAUAGUGAUCUGUGAUCAGUGAUCUUUGUUGCUACUGCAAUUUGCUGAAAGCUCAAAUGAUGGUUAGCAUCUUUUGGCAAUAGAUUAUUUUUAAAUUUACAGGACAUUGUAGACUGCAGUAUAGUGUAAAGAUAAUUCUUAUAUGUACUAGGAAACCAGAAAAAUCAUUUGACUCACUUUACUGAGAUAAUUUGCUUUAUUGCAGCAUUCUGGAACCAAACCUGCAGUAUAUCUGAGGUAUGCUUGUAAUACAUAUUUUAUUGUAGAAAAUAUACAGAAUAUAAAGUUAUAUGUAGUAAAAUUUAAAUAUCUUUCUUUGCCAUGUAUCUCCAGUUCUACUCCUUUACUUUUGCUUGCAACACUUUUUCUGUGCAUUAUAAAAAAUACACACACAGUGAGCUUUUAAUCUGUCUAAACUGGAAUCACACCAUAUAUAUUAUCUUCAGCACAUUUUACAUGUAAUAAUGUAUUUUUCUAUGUCUGUGUUAAUAAAUCUACUUUACUCUUUUAUUUAUUUUUUUUCUUUCUUAUGGCCACACCUGUGGCAUAUGGAAGUUCCUAGGCUAGGGGUUGAAUCAGAGCUGUAGCUGCCAACCUACACCACAGCCACUGCAAGUCCAGAUCCAAGCCGCUGUCUGUAACUAUGCUGCAGCUCACUGCAGUGCCUGCAAUGCCAGAUCCUUCACCCACUAAGCAAGGCCCGCGAUCGAACCUGCAUCCUCAUGGAUACUGGUCGGAUUCUUAACCUACUGAACUGCAAUGGGAAUGCCUACUUCGAUCUUUUUAAUGGCAACAUAAUAUUUCAUGUUAAGGAGUAUAUAUCUUACAGACCAGUUUCCCUUAGAAGAACAUGAGGCUUGGGUUCCACCCUGCUAAAUAUGCACAUGUCUUAGUGCUCACAUGCAAGAAUUCUAUAGCUAAGUUCCUAGAAAUAGAGUUGCUGGGUCAGGGAGCACAUGCUGUCAUUUUGAUAGAUUCUCCUUGUGGUAUAUGAUUUCUAGUGACGGCCCCCACUGAAUCACACCUCUCAUAUUCAUAUCCUUAGAUGGAACCUUCUAUUAAAUCUGGGCUACCUGUCCUUACAAGUUUAAUAAACAUGUUAAAUCUAUAUAUUUUAACCAACAUUGAAAUUAAUCUGAAUCUGUAACUUCUUCCUCUCCAUGAGCAUGACAAAGACUGGUAACAUGCUUGUACUUUUCCUUCUCCCCCUCAUCCCCAUUUAUUUUGAUUAAAUCAUUUGGAGUUUUCUAAAUUUUCUAACUUUUAACUCUAUUUCUGAUGACAUUUCCUAAUAACUCCAUUGUGCUUCACAGCCACAUUAUAAAAAACAAUUUAGACUUAACCAUAAGUGCUUCCCCUCAUCCCCUUGUGAUAUGUUAUACUUUUUGAAAAUUGUUCUUGUAAGUUUCUCUUUUGUAUUUUGCAUUUUUUCCCAGAAGAGAUGUUGGGUGGUAAGGUUUAUAAAUCAUCGUGUAUAUAACAAUGUUUUAUUUUUUAAUUCUUACUGGAUUGAUAUUUUAUCUGAUUAUGAAAUUCUAGGUUCAAGAUAAUUCUUUCUUAGCUUUUUGAAAGCACUUCUGUAUUAUCCUUUAGUAUUCCAUCACUGUUAUAAGAUAUGAUGGCAAACUGGCAGUUGUUCCUUAGGUAACCCAUUUUUUUUUCCUCCCUGGAAAAGGUUUGGAUUUUCUCUUUGUCCUUGGAAUUUAAUGAUCUCACUAGGAUUUGUUUGUAUUUUUGUUUGUUUGCUUUUAAAAAUUUUCUGACUCAGCACUUUGUUGGCCACUUUCAGAAAGAACAUUCAGGUUCUCACAUCAUAAAGUUCUCCACGCAAGAUUCUGAAAUUCUUUUAUCAUUAUUUCUUGCUUUUUAUCUUAAAAAGAAAAAAAAGGAACUAACAGGCUGUGAGAAACACCAAAACAAUAGAAAAAGAAGGAAAAGUUCCUGUUGUGGCUUGGUGGGUUACAAACCCAACUUGUAUCCAUGAGGAUGUGGGUUCGAUCCCUGGCCUUGCUCAGUGGGUUAAGGAUCCGGCAUUGCCAUGAGCUAUGGUGUAGGUUACAUGAGCUGUGGUACAGGUCACAGAUCCCAAGUUGCUGUGGCUGAGGCAUAGGCCUACAGCUGCAGCUCAGAUUUGAUGCCUAGCCUGGGCACUUCCGUAUGCUCCAGGUCUGGC